UCUAAAGAAUUUGGUGGGUGUGGUUUUUUGUUCUUGGCUCUUAGACUUUCUAGUCUUCUCUCUCUCUUGAAGCGUCCUUCUUCUUUUUCUUUCUGGUUGAAUUUGGAAUAAUUUCCAGGAUGUUUAAUCUAAGAGAAACUCUUGUAAACACGUCUUGCUAUAGUAAAUGAUAGAUAUGAGAUAUUGGCUAUCUGUUGUAGUUUGGCUUUUGAUAAAUUGAGAGAAGAGAGUUGUGUCCAAUUUGGAGAUCCUUUGAUGAACAAACUAAUUGUCUGCGUGGUUCUUUGUACUUUGUUCUCUUUGAAAAGUAGUUUGCACAUGGUGGAUUGGACUGAUCUUGAGCCCCCCAAAUUAAGUCUUUUUGGCCGAACUAGGUGAACAUUUUACUGUGUUCUUUACCUUUUUGCACUUUGUGUUUGGUUCGGUUUAUAUUGUUUGUGAUCUUUGGAUUAAAAUACCCAACAAGUCUGGUAUCAUAACCAUUUCUUAGAGCUUCUGGGUAAAAAUUUGUAUUCUGAAAAUAAGCAGUAUUCUUGAGGUGAUUGGAGACCUAAAAGGGUUUUGGUUUCACUGAAAUUUUUCUUUGAAAAUAUUUCUUUUUUUUAAAUUUGUGCAGAUCUAAACAAGUGUGUUAAAGUUACUCAUAAUUUUUCUUAAGUGUGAAGGUAAAGUGAUUUGGCAUUUUCUUUCUUGGCCGUUUGGGACGUUACCUAGAAGGAAAAAGGGUGUUCUUUGAAUUUAAUAGCUCUGUUGUUCAACAAUGCUGGGUGAGAUUGUUCUUGAACUUUCUCCGGAUAAUCCUGGUUUACAUAUUAACUUGUUCAUUGAUCUGUAGAUUAAUUGUUGUGCAUUGAGUACUCAGUGUUACAAAAUUAAUCUGACAUAGGAGCAUGUAUAGGAUUUAUCAUUCUGAAUCCGUUAUACUUGUUGUGUAAUCUUGCAUUAACAACACUGCGAUUGCUUGUGUUUACUGUAUUGAUUGUGCAAGUUAGGGUAGUUGAUUUCAUUCUGUAAUCAAUCUUUCUUUAAUUCUUUUAGGAACCAUUUUUCUGCACUUGAGUGAUCGCACAUUGAUAAAUCACUCAUGUCCACUAGUAGUGGCCGCCUUUUACAGAACCUCUGAUGGAUUCGAAGGUCGAAUUAUCACAAUUCGAUGAAAAGGGGAUUACUCAAUUUUAAAGUAGAAAAUGAGAGCCAUAUUGGUCUUACAAAGGGUCGUUAAAGCCUUGGAUGACCCAAACACAUAUCCUGCUAAACUUAAAGCAAAGCCGGAUGAAAUUCUAGAAAUGAAUGAAAUUGCUUAUAAUUCAAUUAUUUUGCAUCUGUCUGAUAAUAUUGUAAGGAAAGUAGAAGAUUCCAAAACUCUAAAGACUUAUGGACAACCUUAAAUAAUUUGUUCUUGAUCAAGACUUUACCAAAUAAAAUUUACCUCCUAGAAAAAUUGUUCAAUUUUAAAAUUGAUGCUGGGAAAGACUUAGAGGCUAACUUGAGUGAUUUCAGCAUACUAGUUAAGAGCUUCGCUCAUCAUAAUGAUAAAAAGUUUGAAGAUGAAGAUCUUGUAGUGAUCUUUCUAAACUCUUUACCUGAAUCUUAUAAAGAUAUCUGAAAUGCUAUAAAAUACUCAAGAGAUGCCUUAACACAAACAAUCGCAACAAAUGCCCUAAGAUCUAGGGAAUUGGAGGUUAGAAAAGAAUCAAGAACUAAUUCAAGAGACGAGAGCUUGUCAGUAAGAGGGAUAACUGAAAAAAAAAAAGAACCAUUGACAGAAUAAAAGAUUCAAAUCUAAAUCUAAAGCAAGAUAUAAAUCAAGAGUUAAAAGCAACAAAAAAUGUUUAUCACUGUGGAAAACUUGGACACUUUAAAAGAGAUUGCUUUGAAUUGAAGAAGAAGCUGAAAGAAUAUAACAACAUUGAGUUAAACAAUGCUGCUGUGAGUUCUGAACUUGACAACGUUCUUGUUAUGACUGUGACCAAUGAAGAAACAGAUAUUGACUGGAUACUAGACUCUAGAUGCACUCUUCACAUGUGUUCAAAUAAAUCUUGAUUUCGUAACUAUAGAGAGAUAGAACACAUAAAGGUAUAUAUGGGUGAUAAUAACUCGCAAAAUGUUCUUGGAACUGGUGACAUUGCAAUCAAAAUGCAUGAUGACAUUGUUGGACAGAUUAAGAAUGUGAGACAUGUCCCAAUCUAAAAAGAAAUCUCAUUUCAUUGGGAAUCCUUGAAGAUGAGAGACAUACAUUCAAAUCUAAAAAUAAUACUUUGAAAAUUCUAAAAGGAUCUCUUGUAGUUGUGAAGGGACCAAAAAGGAAUGGUUUGUACUAUCUAAUGGGAAAAACGGUAUAUCCUCAAGAGUCAAUAUCUUUAACCAUAACUGAAAGUAAAUCCGAAUUAUGACAUUGUAGGAUGAGUCAUAUUAGUAACAAGGGCCUAAAAUAUCUAAAUGACCAAAAACUACUUGGAAAAGAUAGAAUAGAACUUCUUAACUUUUAUGAGGCAUGCGUGCUAUGGAAGUCUCAUAGAGUAAGCUUUAAGAUAGGGUUACACACGACAAAUAGACUAUUAAACUAUGUUCAUUCAGAUUUAUGAGGUCCAGAAAAUCACCCAACCUUUGAUGGGAACAAAUAUUUUCUUUCUAUAAUUGAUGACUAUUCUAGAAAGGUCUGGCCCUACCCUUUAAAAUCCAAAUCCGGAACUUUUCAAAAAUUCAGAAUGUGGCUAAAGAUGGUUGAGAAUCAAUUGUACAAGAAACUGAAAACCUUAAGGAUGGAUAAUGGAUUGGUAAUGCUGAAUUUGAUAACUUUUACAAACAAAAGGGAAUAAUUAGGUAUAGGAUCGUUAAGCAUACACACCAAUCCAUAGAACUCUUAUGAAUAAAGUAAGAUGUAUGGUUAUAAGUUAUGGGUUUUAUGCAAUGUAGGCUACCUGAUAAACAGGUCCCCUUACAGUUCUGUAGCGUUCAAUACUCCACAGGAACUUUAUAUUGGAAAAUCACCAAAGCUGUCACACAUUAGAGUCUUUGGAUGUGCUGUAUAUGCACAUUAGACUGAAGGAAAAUUAGACCCAAGGGCUACCAAGUGUGUUAUGUUUGGAUACCUUAUAGGAGUUAAAGGGUAUAUGUUAUGGGUACUAAGUGUAAAAGAGAUUGCUUUGAAUUGAAGAAGAAGCUGAAAGAAUAUAACAACAUUGAGUUAAACAAUGCUGCUGUGAGUUCUGAACUUGACAACGUUCUUGUUAUGACUGUGACCAAUGAAGAAACAGAUAUUGACUGGAUACUAGACUCUAGAUGCACUCUUCACAUGUGUUCAAAUAAAUCUUGAUUUCGUAACUAUAGAGAGAUAGAACACAUAAAGGUAUAUAUGGGUGAUAAUAACUCGCAAAAUGUUCUUGGAACUGGUGACAUUGCAAUCAAAAUGCAUGAUGACAUUGUUGGACAGAUUAAGAAUGUGAGACAUGUCCCAAUCUAAAAAGAAAUCUCAUUUCAUUGGGAAUCCUUGAAGAUGAGAGACAUACAUUCAAAUCUAAAAAUAAUACUUUGAAAAUUCUAAAAGGAUCUCUUGUAGUUGUGAAGGGACCAAAAAGGAAUGGUUUGUACUAUCUAAUGGGAAAAACGGUAUAUCCUCAAGAGUCAAUAUCUUUAACCAUAACUGAAAGUAAAUCCGAAUUAUGACAUUGUAGGAUGAGUCAUAUUAGUAACAAGGGCCUAAAAUAUCUAAAUGACCAAAAACUACUUGGAAAAGAUAGAAUAGAACUUCUUAACUUUUAUGAGGCAUGCGUGCUAUGGAAGUCUCAUAGAGUAAGCUUUAAGAUAGGGUUACACACGACAAAUAGACUAUUAAACUAUGUUCAUUCAGAUUUAUGAGGUCCAGAAAAUCACCCAACCUUUGAUGGGAACAAAUAUUUUCUUUCUAUAAUUGAUGACUAUUCUAGAAAGGUCUGGCCCUACCCUUUAAAAUCCAAAUCCCGAACUUUUCAAAAAUUCAGAAUGUGGCUAAAGAUGGUUGAGAAUCAAUUGUACAAGAAACUGAAAACCUUAAGGAUGGAUAAUGGAUUGGUAAUGCUGAAUUUGAUAACUUUUACAAACAAAAGGGAAUAAUUAGGUAUAGGAUCGUUAAGCAUACACACCAAUCCAUAGAACUCUUAUGAAUAAAGUAAGAUGUAUGGUUAUAAGUUAUGGGUUUUAUGCAAUGUAGGCUACCUGAUAAACAGGUCCCCUUACAGUUCUGUAGCGUUCAAUACUCCACAGGAACUUUAUAUUGGAAAAUCACCAAAGCUGUCACACAUUAGAGUCUUUGGAUGUGCUGUAUAUGCACAUUAGAUUGAAGGAAAAUUAGACCCAAGGGCUACCAAGUGUGUUAUGUUUGGAUACCUUAUAGGAGUUAAAGGGUAUAUGUUAUGGGUACUAAGUGUUAAGGGUAUUAAGAUCAUUGAUAGUAGAAAUGUAGGGUCUAAUGAGUUUGAAAUGCCAUGCCUAAAGGAUAAAACUGACAAACCAGAUCCAACUGAAAAGGGUACUUCAUAGAAUGAGGUGAAGUUGACAAGAUUAAGUCAUAAUCAAUCUAAAAUAACUGAACCUCAGAUAUGAACAGCCUAGUGGAAAGGGUAGAUAACGCGGAUGAGAUGAAGGCAUACCAUCCCAAACUGAAAUUGAAACGAAAAUUGUGACACUUGAUAACCCUGCAAAUGAAACUAGUACUCAAGAUUAUCAAUUAGUGAGAGACAGGUAAAGGAGACAAAUUAAACCUAACCCCAAGUAUUAGACAAAUAAUCUAACAGACUUUGCCCUAAUCACUAGUGGGAACUUAGAACAUGCUAAACCUUUAUCUUACAAAGAAGUAAUGAACGAUUCCAAGUCCCAAAAUUGGAGAGAUGUUAUGAGAGAAGAAAUGAAAUCUUUACUUGAAAAUAAGACAUGGAAACCUAUAAAGAAACCAAAGCGUUAGAGAAAAGGUUCAAUGUAAGUGGAUCUAUAAACUCAAAGAAGGGAUCUCACAUACUGACCCUUUGAGGUAUAAGGCAAUGCUUGUAACCAAAGGGUUGACUCAAAGGGAAGGUGUGGAUUACAAUGAAAUUUUUUCACCUGUAAUCGAAUAUAAAACAAUAAGGCUAAUACUUGCUCUAGUUGUUCAAUUCAAUUGGAAACUUGAACAAUUAGACGUCAAAACUGUAUUCUUACAUAGGGAAUUGGAUGAAGACUGUGUCAACCUCAAGGUUCUGAAAAAAAAAAAGGGAAAUUUGAUUUUGUUUGUAAAUUGCAAAAAUCCCUGUACGGACUCAAACAAAGUCCAAGACUGUGGUAUUUAAGGUUUGACACAUGUUCUAAAAGUUUUAUGAUAACUGAAUAUGACCAUUUCUUAUAUUAUAGAAACUCUAAAAUUGGCAGUGAGAUAUAUUUACUCUUAUAUGUAGACAAUAUGCUACCGACCAGCUCUAGUAAAGUUGUGAUAAUGGGACUUAAGAAUAUUCUAAAAUCUGAAUUUGACAUGAAAGACUUAGAAAAUGUCAAGAAAAUUGUGGAUGGUGAUAAAUAGAAAUAUGCAGGAAGAUAUGUUAACAAUAACACAAGAAUCUUACCAGUACAAAGUGAUAACAAAAUUUGGUAUGAAAGGAGUUACGUCUGUUAAUGUGCCACCCGCAACUCACAUGAACCUUUUCUCAGCCCAAUGUCCUAAACUAAAUCUAAGAUCAAUGAUAUGAGAAAUAUACCAUAUACUAAUGCCAUGGUGUUUUUCUUUUUCUUUCUGGUUGAAUCUAAAUAAUUUCCAGGGUGUUGAAUCUAAGAAAACUCGUAUAAACAUGUCUUGCUACAGUAAUUGAGAGGUCUGAGUUAUUGGCUAUCUGUUGUAGUUCGAUUUUUGAUAGAUUGAGAUAAUAGAGUUAUGUCCAGUUUGGAGAUCCUUUGAGGAUCGAUGAACAAACUCAUUAUCUGAGUGGUUCUCUGUAUUUUGCUCUCUUUGGGAGGUAGUUUGCACAUAGUGGAUUGGGUUGAUCCUAAAAUCCUCAUAUUAUGCCUUUUUGGUCGAACUAAGUGAACAUUUUGAUGUGUUGUUUACAUUUUAAAAAAAAAAAAAAAGGAAAGAAAAGAAAAGAAAAGGUAUAUUUCUAAUCAUUGUUCUAAAUUUUUCUUGAAUUACUAUCGUCUAUUUUAUAUGUAUGUAAUGUAUUCCUAUUACAAUUGAUUUUUCAUAAUGUUUUACUAAAUUUAAUUAUAGCGAACAAAAUUUUAUAUUUAACAUAACUAGUUGAGGUUGCUUAGAUUCUUUAAUUCACAAGGAAAUAAGGUUUGCGAUGGUUGUACAAAUUGCACAUUUAAAAUAUUGACCCAAAAACACCAAGCAAUAUUCAAACAAAGUGCCUUACAAGAUUAAACGUAUGAAAUGUUCCUCGUAGAUCAUAUUUUACAGUUUUAGGUAGUCUCUCUAAUCGUUUCUUCUCCCUUUUUCCAAACUUCUUGCAUUAAAACUAUUAAUGCUUACAAUUCUUUUCAAAAUCUUGUUUGUACUUCAUUGUCGGCAGUAGAUUAAGUACAUUCAUCGAGUAUAGACUUCUUAAUUAUUUGGUGUUAUGGUUGUCUUCGUGUAUGCACGAUGCAGACAACAUAUUAAGACUUUAUUUUUUAUCUUGAAGGCAUAUUUACAUGGUCAAGUGCAUCACGAUUUAGGGGGGCCAAAUAGCAUCUUAAGGAAGUCCAAAGUUGUGCCUUGAAAUCGUGUUCUUCAUUCUUCAAGAUUUUGCACUUCCAGCAGGUUGUGGUUUAAUUUGUAUUUCUGCGAUUUCUAAUCAUUCCUCGUUGUUCUAACUUGAAGUCGAGUUUCUGAAUAUAAGCAAACACGCUAUAAAGAAGAAAAGAUACCACAAAAAGUGAAAUUUAUACCUUGAAUGGUGACUUUACAUGUGCUAUUUUAAUUUAAGUAUUCACUUCUUAAAGGGUGGAAAUUCACAUUUGUCACUGUUAUAAAAGUAGUAAAUACGAAAAUUUAUGACACAAUUGGAUUUUGUAUCUUACAACAUGAAAUCGACGUGUUGAAUUGACACCCAUGAGUCUACC
RNAcentral lists this long non-coding RNA (7044 nucleotides) under Olea europaea (common olive). RNAcentral's name for it is "long non-coding RNA (OEUR_LNC001881)". Lineage: Eukaryota; Viridiplantae; Streptophyta; Magnoliopsida; Lamiales; Oleaceae. The record is from RNAcentral.